RNAcentral lists this ribosomal RNA (429 nucleotides) under Chloroflexota bacterium. Its description in RNAcentral is "Chloroflexi bacterium partial 16S ribosomal RNA". It matches the Rfam family "Bacterial small subunit ribosomal RNA", at positions 355 to 776 of the family's 1533-position model. Lineage: Bacteria; Bacillati; Chloroflexota. The record is from RNAcentral.
UGGGGAAUAUUGCACAAUGGGCGCAAGCCUGAUGCAGCCAUGCCGCGUGUAUGAAGAAGGCCUUCGGGUUGUAAAGUACUUUCAGCGGGGAGGUAGGGAAUAAAGUUAAUACCUUUGCUCAUUGACGUUACCCGCAGAAGAAGCACCGGCUAACUCCGUGCCAGCAGCCGCGGUAAUACGGAGGGUGCAAGCGUUAAUCGGAAUUACUGGGCGUAAAGCGCACGCAGGCGGUUUGUUAAGUCAGAUGUGAAAUCCUCGGGCUCAACCUGGGAACUGCAUCUGAUACUGGCAAGCUUGAGUCUCGUAGAGGGGGGUAGAAUUCCAGGUGUAGCGGCGAAAUGCGUAGAGAUCUGGAGGAAUACCGGUGGCGAAGGCGGCCCCCUGGACGAAGACUGACGCUCAGGUGCGAAAGCGUGGGGAGCAAACAGG